This is a long non-coding RNA of Cercocebus atys (sooty mangabey), 7798 nucleotides long. RefSeq lists it as uncharacterized. The record is from RefSeq and is a predicted model, not a curated record. NCBI's taxonomy places the organism in Eukaryota, Metazoa, Chordata, Mammalia, Primates, Cercopithecidae. The transcript has 3 exons.
UAAAUAGGAUAAACAUUGUUUUCUUUUGUUCUGAAGUGAAAAUAUAGAUCAGACCCUUUUCUUCAGUUCACUGAGGUUUCCUCAAAUGGCUUGACACUACUGAGUUAACAAAGUUAGACUCUCCUCAAUUUUUUAAUGUAUUAAAAUAAAAGUCUCUUCCACUAAAACAUUCACUAGAAUUAUCAAAUCUUCACCAGUGAAGUGUAGUCAUUAGAUAGAUGGAUGGGUUUUUACUCCUCCUAUCAUUUUUAAUUGUCAUGGAAUUACAUUUAUCCUCCCUAAACCAGUACAAUGUAUGCUUUUCUUGGUUCAGUAGAAAGGGAUGCAUCCAAGGAAAGAUAAAUUAUUCCUUUAUCACCAAAACAUUUAUUAAAUGUCUAUAUUUUUAGGGGGCUGUGCUGAGUGCUAUAAAUGGGAAUUAAUUAGGCUAAAUUCCUGCCUCUAUCUCUAUUACAACAGAAGAUAGACAACAACGUUGCAGGAAUUUUAAGGCCAUUCAUUCAACAUGGGGGAUACGUUCAACAUGGGGAUGCAAACAGAUAAGUUUUUACCAUGAACAUUUGCAUCCUUGAGCACAGUAUAUUAGUGUACUGGGUGAAAAGGGUGAUGCAUGCCAUGUGAUUAAUUGCCUCUCACCAAACAUGGUAAGAAAGAUCCCUGCCAAAAUCCUAUGACUCGACAGAGUGCUGUCCAAAUGAGAGCAUGAUAAGAAGGGGUAGGCACAGUGGGUUUUUUUUUGAUCAUCCAUAUCCAAUCUCAGAAAUUACUAAAAGAAAGGGAUUUCCAGCUUGCAUCUGCUUUAUACAUUUUAAAAAUCCUUUAUAUGCUGUGGGGAAAAAUGUUAAACAAGGAAUAAACUAGUUAUAGGCAAACAUCACAGAGAGGCACACUAGAGUAAUGGAAACUUCUCAUACUCAUAGAAAUUUAAGCACAUGCUUAGAGAAUUAUACACAUUUUGUAUAUUACAUAUACUCAAUGCACUAACAUAUUAUUUACUCUACCUAUAUUCCCCAUCUCUACAUGGGAAGAUCUUAUUAAUCUUACCACAUCUCUCUCUCAAACUCAUUCCUUCUUCAUUUGUUUCAGGACAAUCAAAUUAACAUAAGUUGUGAAUCAUUUUGUUCUCGAUAAUUAUAAUAACCUCCUAGUCAUUUUUUUGAUUUUCCAUUAUUGUAUUUCAUACAAUAUUGCUUCUGAGGAAGAAACUCACUUCAAAGCAAAAAAAGUGCAAGAAUGGGCUCAUGCUCAUGGAUUUCACUGAUUUUACUAUGUACCCCACCAGUCUGAAGCAGUUGGCUUGAUAGAAUGAUGGAAUGUCCUUUUGAAGACUGAAUUACAGCACCAGCUAGGUAAUAAUAGCUUUCAGGGCUGGAGCAAGAUUCUCCAGAAGGCUCUGAUUCAGCCUCAUUAUAUGGUACUGUUUCUGUGAUAGCCAGGAUAUAUAGGUCUAGGAGUCAAGGAGUGGAAAUGGGAGUGGCAUCACUCACAAUUACCCUUGGUGACCCACUAGCAAAAUUUUGGUUCCUGUUUCUGCAGCUUUAAGUUCUGUCAGCCUAAAGGUCUUAGUUCCACAGAAACAAAUGCUUCUACCAGGAGACACAACAAUGAUUUCAUUGUAUUGGAAGUUAAGACUGCCACCUCGCCAUUUUGGGUUCCUCAUGCCUUUGAGUCAACAGGCAAGAAGAAAGUUGUGGUGUUGGCUGGGAUUAUUAAUCCUGACCAUGAAGGGGAAAUUGAACUAAUCCUCCUCAAUAAAGGUAAGGAAGGGUAUGUCUGAAAUCCAGGAGAUUUCUUAGUGUGUCUCUUAGUAUUAUCAUACCCUACAAUUAAAGUCAAUGGAAAACUGUGACAAUCCAAUUCUGGCAGAACUACAAAUGGCCCAGACCUUUCAGGAAUGAAGGGUUAAGUCACCCUAUCAGGUGAAGAACCAUCAACAGGUAAAGAACCAAAAUACAUAUAUUUUUCUCCUUGGCGGUAGAAAAAAGAUACCCCUUUGAACAUGAUUUUCUUUGAACAUUCAUUAAGUAUCAGUGUAUUACAAACCAAAAUAUUCCUUAGCCUUUAUUUAUUUCAUUUGGCAUCUAACCUCAUAAACUAUGGUUUGACAGAUGAUCCAACCAAAUUAUUGUACAUUUUAGUUAAAUAUUUUAGGAUAAUGGUUCAUAAAAUAAUCAUUGGGAUCAACUACUCUGAGCUGAGCAUCUAAAAAGUCUUGGUACAAAAGUUCUAAGCGAUCAUAUCCAUUCUGCACCUUAGGGGAAGUAAUCACAAAUUUAUUUUGGUAAUGUCUAUGUUAAUCAGUAUUUUUACUUUCCUGCUAUUCAGAAGACUGAAUAUUAAUAAACAUAAAUAUUUGUGAUUGUUAGAACCAAAUGCAAAAUGAAGCAAUGUUGUUUCUACAUUUUUAUGUUGAAAAUAAACCAGAUUUAAUUUUUACCCUACAUGGGAUAGGAGAGAAUACACAAAUCAAUUUCAUUCUGAAAUGAGACAAAGAGAUUCUGGCAUUUGUUAGGACUGUCUAAAAGGAGAAAAAAAAAAUAAAAAAAAACUAGAUAUUUGCUUUAAUGGGAUAAUACUGUGUUUUCAUAGGUACCACAAAGCUAUUUCCAUAGCUUUCAGUGGGGGCAUAUUGUUUUAAUCGCUUCUAUAGUGACUGCUAUGGUUUUGUCUUGGUUCACUCACAUUAAGUUGCCGAAUCCCUAUUUGUGUACAUAGACUUGCAUUUAUAAAUAUAUGCCUGGUGUCUGUUAGUGACCUUCCACUGACCAACUCUGCACAAAUAUCUCUUAUCUGAACAUUUAGAGCAAAGUUUGGUAAACAGUGCAAAAUUCAGGAGAGAAGACAUAAAUCAAAACUAAAAUAAUAAGUUCAAAGCCUUGAACUCUUGCAAUAUAUUGUUUUUCAAUCUUGGGAGUCAUUGAAAUGAUUACAGAGACCCAAACUAUUUGAAAUGCAUGUCUAAAAUCUAACCGGGAUGCAACCACAUUUGAGUAAAAGGCUAUUAAAAUGAUGAAGUCAUUAUAUUGUAUCCAAGGAUAAAAGACAUUGUAAAUAUUUAGUCUUUCACAGUCACAAACCACUUAAAUGAAUGAAUAUAGUCUAUUCAAUGGUUUCUGGUUCUAAUUGCCGCCAGGAAAUGUCAAAUUCACAUGCUGUCCCAGAACAUAAGAUUUAGCUUUUGAAUUUUUAAUUUAGCUAAAAGAUGUGUAAAAGCACACAGUCAUUCAGAUCUCUAUAGGCUCCAAAUCUGUGUAAGAUUAUAUACAAAUAAUGUUUAAGCUAGCAUUGGCAAUCACAUUGGCUAACUAACUUUAAUGUAAUUAAUUGUAUUUUUGUUUUUUAUUUUUUUUUAGGGAGAAACAAAAAUAAUGAAGGAUGAAAAUUUGGAGAGGCACUAUUUUCAGUAAUAGUCUUACAAAUGAGUAAUAGCCAUUGGCAGUGGAGCAAGAUGGUGGAACAGAAGCCUACAACCUUUAUCCCCCUGUAGGAACACAAAAUUUUAACAACUAUCUAAACAGAGGAAAGCAGAGUCACAAGAACUAAGAAUCAGACUGAUGCUCAUGGCUAUCUAAAGCCAUCCUCAUCAGCAGAGGAUCAAAACAAAUUGUAUCAGUACAGAAGGGAGGCACACCACAAAACUAAACCCCAUUUUUGACAGGCUUAUUUACUGCAAAAUAGGAUGAAAAUGUAAGUAUUACCACUUAUAAUUAUGCUAUGCAGUCAGGUUUUGUCUUCCCUUUUUAAAAAUGCAUACAUGUAUUGUGGAAGAGAUGUUGGAUAAGACCAGUUUAUUCACUCAAGAAAAAAAAAGAAAUCUUUGUAUGCUCUCACACAAGGUGUACACAUAGGAUGGGCACUAGCUUUUGAUAUUCCCACCUGGAUCUGGUUUGAAAUUGAGAAAGAAAAGGGCCAAAUGCAGAAGUAAAUACAUCAAGACUUAGUCUUUCCUAAAACACAUUUUGCGUUACAGGCAUAACCCCAUAAUGAAAUACAUUUUAUUUGGGCUUGAUUUUCUUAAGAGCCACCUACUGCAAUUGUGUGAUGUCAUGUUGUCUAUGAAGUCUAUCUUGGAACACAAUCUACACUAAUUUGGAUCUGUAUUAUAAAAGCUAAGCACAUCUGAAGGUGGGUUUGUGAAAAGACAUACCUUGCAUUGUCAUGUGCAUAGCAAAGUGUGUUUUCUGUUUCGAAUUGCAACUUUGGAAUCAAAUUUGUUUUCAGUAGUUUUGUGUAGACAUGAGUAGACAUGAGCAUAUAGCAGAAUCCAUUGACUGAAUUCUAGGAGCAUGAGUUGUUUGAUUUUAUUUGCAACAUCUAUAGGGAAACUACUUAUGAAAGUUGCAUUGUCAAAUAAAUAGUAGUAUAAUGGCUAAUAUUUAUUCAGUUUAUUUCUACAAUGGUACUAUUAUCAAUCAUCUUUAUUACAUAGAUGAAGAAAUGUAGGUUUAGAAGGUUAUGUGACCUUCCUGAACUCAUAAACCUGUUAAAUGAUAUUAUCAGGAUUUAGAUCAAGUUCUCUCUGACCCUGAAGUCCAAGUUCUUCAUCAAGAUCUAUGCAUGAACUUGAGAAAACACAUUCUAAUAUUCUGCAAGAAAUAAAUCUAAAAUUGAUUAGAAAAAGAGAGAUGAGGCAUGAGAUUCAGUUAAUUCAAUUUGUUAGAGCAUAUUAAUAAAAAAUGUUUUCUGUUAUGCUCUCCCACAUUGGGAAGUCAUUUUUAUCCAUAAGCCUGAGUCAGUGUGCAAACCAAACCCAGAAAGCUGACCUGCAAAUAUUAUACAAGAUGCUGCCUUCAAGUGGGACCUAGUAACAUAGUUUGUGGUUCAGCAUGAAAUAUCACCUUUGUCAAAAUCUCACACACACUUCAGUAUUAUAAUCCCAGUGGUAACAAUAUCCCAACUUUAUAGCUUUGUGUCUCAACAAUAGCUUGUUUAAAGAAAUAAUAAUUUUGCAAAUUAAAGAAAUACUUUAAACUUUUAGUGUUAAAUACGAAGUCUAUGUUUAGGGAUAUCAUUGAGUACAGAGCCGUCAGGAGUGAGAAUACUUGGGUUUCAAUACAUGUUGAUCAGAAAUAACAGUUUUUUAAUCUUUGAAAAACAGUUUACUCAAUAAAAUGUUUAAAUGAUGUGUAUGACGAAUGCAGGUAAAAACUGAACGAUUACAUUAUUUAAUUGUUUUCCAAUAUCUCAAUUAAAUUCCUAUGAAAAUAAAAUGGGCUUUGAUUAAAAUUUCGAUGGACCAAAUUAAUCACUACUUUAUUGGUUGAGAAGAUGCACUCAUAUUCAUUAUUCACUCAACCUGUCUUAAUUUGGUAUGAACUGCACCCUGGCCUUGUGCUGGGUGUUAAGUACAUAAUGAUAUGCAGAAGACAGACAUUCCAUUAGGGAAUUUACAGUCUAGAAGGAGCCAGACAGAAGAAUCACUAUAUCCUGACAAAUAAGAAACUUCAUAUGUCCCAUGUUGACAACUUGAAAGCUUAUAACGUAGUAGGGAAAAUGAGAUAGGAUGCAAACAGAGAGGUGGGUAAUGAUGGAUCAUACAUAGUUUAUAAAGAAAAUAAAAAGCCUUUAUUCUUUAAAUUGAGAGCAAAAGAAAGUCAGUGCAUGUCAUUAACCAGAGAUUGAUGUAAUCCAAUUUAUGUUAAAUUUUGGUUCUCUCUUGUUGCCACGUGCAGAAUGAAAUGUAGGAGGGAUGGGUAAGAAGGGAGAUCAGAACUAGGACAUUGCAAUGUCCCAAUAGAGAGCAUCAGUAGUAAUAUGGUAGAUGAUUGUGGCUCAAAUAGGGUUGUUUCUGGUGCAAAUGAAGGUAGUGAAAUAUGAGAGGUUAAACGGUCACAGCACAGAGAUCAGUCAUGAGGGGAAGAAGGAUAAACUGAAAUGAGUAUGAGUUAUAUGGCAAGGAGAAAUUGCUAAGGACAACAUUUAAGUUACUAGAUUGUGCAACUGGCUGUGCAGUGGUACCAUUUAUUGAUAUUAAAAAAUAUCUGAAAAAUGACAAAGCUUAAGGAAGAGAAACUAUAAGUUUGGUUUUUAAAUUGCAUUUGAAUUGGCUUUUGCAUUGUUUGAUUGAAUCUCUAAAGUGCAGUGGACCUGCCUUUGAAACAUUUAAGUGAAGAUAUUGACUAAGCUGUUGCAUACAUUGAUGUAGAUCUCUAAAAUGAGUUCUGGAAUACUGACUAACAUGGAUGAACCUCCUAUAAAAAAUAAAGUAAAAAUUAACUUGGUGCUAUGUGAAAUCCUAUUAUAUCCAGGAAAGUCAUUCUAGAAAAGUUAAAAAAAAAAAAAAAAAAAAAACUUGUUAAUACUUAUCACUUGGUUUAAAACUCAUUACAGAAAGCAGGAAAAUAUGAAUAUGUUGGGGAAAAUUAACAUAAAGAGUCUCUUUAUAUAAAAGUGAAAAACAUUUUAGAGCCAAUGCCAUGCACACAGAAGUGUAAGUACACUCAAAGGAAUUUUUUUUUUCCUUACUUUUUUGAGUUGUGUAGGCUUGAGUAUAUACUGAUAUAACAUGCCUCAUUUAGAUAUGUAUUUUUAUCACACCUAUAAAUAUUAACUAUAUAUAGUGCACAUGAAAAUGAAAUGCUAAUAAAUUUAUAAAAGUAUAACAUGCUACUAAAGAUAACCAUUUUCCAAACACUGCAUAGUCCCAAAUUAUUCUCUGAAAAUUUCCCAUUGUUUUUUAAAAAAGUAGAAACAGAACCAAUAAGACAGUAGUGAAUAUUUUAGUAACACAGAAUGCCUAGUUAAACAGAAUUUGUAUUUUAAAGAUUUAUACUUGAGCUUUUGUAGUGUUUUCAGAAUUAAUGUCCCAAACUAAUAAACUCAGAUGGCUACAGAUAACCCCAAACUAACCACCUGCCUCCACUUACCCAUUUGCUUUUUUUCUUAUAAUACAAACAUAAUAAGGUAUCAGACAUAACUUGCAAGUUAAUGCAAGUAGAUGACAUAUGAUCUGUUAAGCUUGGGAAAAAAAGGAGAAAAAUAAAACUGUUAAAGAAGUAAGGCCUCAUUUGAAGAAGGCAGAAAAGGAGAAAGACCAUUGAUAAAAGCAAAGUAAGGCACCUGGAGGACAUGUUUGAUAAAAAGUAAAAUAAAGUGGAAGGGAAUGAGUUCAAAAGAUUGUCAAGGAUAUCAUCACUAGGAAAGGAAGAAAAAGGAGAGCCACAGUAAUAGUAAGUACCCCUCCCUGCAGUAAAAGAAGCACCAUGUCUUUGGAAAAACUCAACUAGAGAUACAGUCUAGUGAACUUACCGGACUACAAAAAUAAAGUCCUUCAGAUAUUCAAGCAAAAAUGUCAAUUCCCUUACUCUAUCAGUCAGCAAAUAUUUGUUGACUGCUUACUCUGUGUUAGUCAUUAUUCCAGUUGUUGUGGAAAGAAUGGUGAACAGAACAGAUAAAAGACCAUGUUCUCAUGGCGCUUAUGCAGAAAAAAAUAUCAGAUUGGCUCCCAAGCCUCUUAUUAGUCAUUAUUAAUGCCUGAAAUCUGUGGAUCAAUGCCUGAAAUGACUUUGGAAAAUAAAAUAUGCCUAAACAGCUCUAUACCCAGCUAAACUGCCCUUCAAUAUAAGGAAAACAAACAAUUUUGAACAUGCAAGUAUUCAUACAAUAUUGUUUCUAUUAACCAUUGUUGAAGAAACUAUUGGUAGAUGUAGUCCAUCCAAAUAAGAAACGAAUAGAGAAACUAAGGCAAAGGGGCUGGUGGCAUAGCAUUGAAACCAACCACAAAUGGCUGGGAAUAAAGCAAAUAUGGUGAUUAUUGUAGAAAAUAGAACAUAGAAUAUUUAAACCCUCGUUGAGGAAA